Molecule: ribosomal RNA, 620 nt
Filed under: uncultured bacterium
Lineage: Bacteria
Description: bacterial SSU rRNA
Rfam family: Bacterial small subunit ribosomal RNA
Source: RNAcentral
UGGGAAGAAUAAGAUGGGGCUAAUACCCCCGUCGAUGACGGUACCAUUUGUAAGCUCCGGCUAACUCCGUGCCAGCAGCCGCAGUAAUACGGGGGGAGCAAGCGUUGUUCGGAUUUACUGGGCGUAAAGGGCGCGUAGGCGGCGCAACAAGUCACUUGUGAAAUCUCCGGGCUUAACUCGGAACGGUCAAGUGAAACUGUCGUGCUAGAGUACAGAAGGGGCAACUGGAAUUCUCGGUGUAGCGGUGAAAUGCGUAGAUAUCGAGAGGAACACCUGCGGCGAAGGCGGGUUGCUGGGCUGAUACUGACGCUGAUGCGCGAAAGCCAGGGGAGCGAACGGGAUUAGAUACCCCGGUAGUCCUGGCCUUAAACGAUGGAUGCUUGGUGUCUCGGGUUUAUAGUCCCGGGGUGCCGGCGCUAACGCAUUAAGCAUCCCGCCUGGGGAGUACGGUCGCAAGACUGAAACUCAAAGGAAUUGACGGGGACCCGCACAAGCGGUGGAGCAUGUGGUUUAAUUCGACGCAACGCGAAGAACCUUACCUGGGCUAGAAUGCCUCUGACAGCCUGAGAGAUCAGGUCUCCUGGGUAAAACCAGGCAGAGUGCAAGGUGCUGCAUGGCUG